RNAcentral lists this ribosomal RNA (301 nucleotides) under uncultured bacterium. RNAcentral's name for it is "partial 16S ribosomal RNA". It matches the Rfam family "Bacterial small subunit ribosomal RNA", at positions 509 to 807 of the family's 1533-position model. The record is from RNAcentral.
CAGCCGCCGCGGUAAUACGAAGGGGGCUAGCGUUGCUCGGAAUUACUGGGCGUAAAGGGAGCGUAGGCGGACAUUUAAGUCAGGGGUGAAAUCCCAGAGCUCAACUCUGGAACUGCCUUUGAUACUGGGUGUCUUGAGUGUGAUAGAGGUAUGUGGAACUCCGAGUGUAGAGGUGAAAUUCGUAGAUAUUCGGAAGAACACCAGUGGCGAAGGCGACAUACUGGAUCAUUACUGACGCUGAGGCUCGAAAGCGUGGGGAGCAAACAGGAUUAGAUACCCCUGUAGUCCCUGUCUCUUAUAC